GCACUGGUGGUUCAGUGGUAAAAUUCUCAUCUUCCAUGCAGGAGACCUGGGUUCGAUUCCUGACCAGUGCA
RNAcentral lists this transfer RNA (71 nucleotides) under Loxodonta africana (African savanna elephant). It matches the Rfam family "tRNA". From Rfam's summary of the family: Transfer RNA (tRNA) molecules are approximately 80 nucleotides in length. Their secondary structure includes four short double-helical elements and three loops (D, anti-codon, and T loops). The record is from Rfam by way of RNAcentral. Lineage: Eukaryota; Metazoa; Chordata; Mammalia; Proboscidea; Elephantidae.